RNAcentral lists this ribosomal RNA (265 nucleotides) under uncultured archaeon. RNAcentral describes it as "partial 16S ribosomal RNA". It matches the Rfam family "Archaeal small subunit ribosomal RNA", at positions 717 to 982 of the family's 1478-position model. The record is from RNAcentral.
AGUCACUGACAUUAGAUACCCGUGUAGUCCAGGGUGUAAACGCUGCAGACUUGGUGUUGGGAACCCUUCGGGGGUGCUCAGUGCCGGAGAGAAGUUGUUAAGUCUGCUACUUGGGGAGUACGUCCGCAAAGGAUGAAACUUAAGGGAAUUGGCGGGGGAGCACCGCAACGGGAGGAGCGUGCGGUUUAAUUGGAUUCAACGCCGAAAACUCACCAGCAGCGACUGUUACAUGAAAGUCAGGUUGAUGACCUUACUAGAUUUUCAG